Molecule: long non-coding RNA, 1413 nt
Organism: Seriola aureovittata
Lineage: Eukaryota; Metazoa; Chordata; Actinopteri; Carangiformes; Carangidae
Exons: 2
Source: RefSeq, a predicted model, not a curated record
UUUGGGGGGAGGCAGAGGAACAAGAGGGAAGAAGUUGAGACCAGGGUUAGGUGAAGAAGCAGCAAAAAAAAAACACAAAAAAAAAAACACGGAGGUGGAGGAGAAAAGAGGGAGGCAAAGAAGGAUGAGCUCAGUGAAAAAAAAGCAGAAGGACAGGGGGUUGGGGGCGAGGAAGGAAGAAAGAAGGAAAGGCAGGAAGGGGGGGGCGAAGGGGAGGGAGGGGUAGGGAGGAAAGGAGGAGGGGAAGGGGGAGAGAGGAAGGAAGGAGGCAGAGGCAGUAAAAAGGAUAUUGAGGAAGUGGAGAUAAAAGCCAAAAGGAGGGAGUGAUUACGGGAACGGUGGCAGAGAUAAAGAAAAAAAGAUGAAGGAGGAGGCAGAGUCAGAACGGGAGAGGAGCUACAAAUUUAACUGGACUACAUGACAGGAAUAGAUCUAGAUGCAAUGGAACACUAACUGACUACCUCACUGACUUUUUAUCAAUAUUGAAUCAAGCUGCCAUCUGCACUGCAUGCAGCAGCUGUAUGUUCGUCUCUCGUGGCUGACUUGUGAGAGCAGCUAGGCCGGGGCGGGCAGCAGUGCAGCCUGGGUCACGAGGUCAUGGCUGCGGUAUGCUCUCUCCAGGGCCGGAGAGAGGUGCUGCUCUGCCAAAACCCCUCCGAGAUCCGGUCUGCCGGCCUCAGCCAUCUGCACAGAGCCCAGAGGAGGAAGCAACAAGGGGAGCAGAAGGGAGGAGGAGGAGGCGGAGGAGAAGGAGGAAGAAGGGGGCCCAAACAAACGUGUCCCACAACACACUUUGGCAGGAAGCAAUCCAGCGUGGGCUCCGUUUCAGCACAGGAAACUUCCUGCGGUAAGGUUAGAGAGCGACGCUGGGAGGUUUAUUAACAGUCAGAGAGGAGAAAAGGAAGAGUGGAAACGGAGAGGAAAGAGUGAUGAGAGCAGCAGCGGAUGGUGUGUGAGGACGGAGAAAAAAAUAAAGGCAGAUGAGAUAAAAUGGCAGGAACAAGAGGACUACACAGUGACAAACAGGAAGGGAAACAGAUACUCAGCCAGCACAGAGCAGGACAUCAUAUUCAGUCCUGAACUCCUGCUCUUCUGACUGUGUGUAGCCAAUCAGCAGCUAGUUCAGGCCCCUCAGCUCAAUCCCAGCAUCUCCCACCUGUGGGCUCUGACUCUACUGUCACUACCUGCUGUGAUGAGCCCGGUGCUUCGCUUCGGGGGGCUGACCAGGUCAAAACGCUGUGUUCACAUAAUAGACUGCUUUCAUGCAAGGGAAGAAGUGCAUCAAUGAUGCUCAAAUAUUUACUGUAUCGUAGAAGAAAAAUUCCUGCUAUUGCAACUAUUCCAUUAAUAUUUAACCCUGUCCAUAUUUAAAGUAAAUGACAGUGAUGUGAAAUGAUUAAAUGUGUUCAUGAA